UACGUAGGGUCCGAGCGUUGUCCGGAAUCAUUGGGCGUAAAGAGCGCGUAGGCGGUCCGGUAAGUCCGCUCUGAAAGUCCGGGGCUCAACCCCGGGAGGCGGGCGGAUACUGUCGGGCUAGAGUCCGGAAGAGGCGAGUGGAAUUCCUGGUGUAGCGGUGAAAUGCGCAGAUAUCAGGAGGAACACCAAUGGCGAAGGCAGCUCGCUGGGACGGUACUGACGCUGAGGCGCGAAAGCGUGGGGAGCGAACAGG
This 253-nucleotide ribosomal RNA is filed under the name uncultured bacterium. RNAcentral describes it as "partial 16S ribosomal RNA". It matches the Rfam family "Bacterial small subunit ribosomal RNA", at positions 524 to 776 of the family's 1533-position model. The record is from RNAcentral.